This 2460-nucleotide long non-coding RNA is filed under the name Daphnia magna. RNAcentral's name for it is "uncharacterized LOC123474338, transcript variant X3". Lineage: Eukaryota; Metazoa; Arthropoda; Branchiopoda; Diplostraca; Daphniidae. The record is from RNAcentral.
CACUUCGGCCCGUAAGCCGCCGUGUUAAAAGCGCGGAAAAACUCGUCGUGUUUCCAAACUUUGUGUGGGUACUGUAUAUUUAAUUUCUUUACUGUAGAUUCGCAAUUGUAAUGGAUUCGAAGAGGAUAUUGAUGGAGUUUUGGUAUCAAAAAGUAUAAGUACAUGUUCGUUGGAAGGGCAACCAAAGAGUUCCGGAUCCUUUUGCUAUCACACAAUAUUAUGUGCGUGUAAAACUAAAGGCUAAAAGAAGAAGAAGAAGAAUGAUUCAAAAAUUCUGGGAGAGAAUCAUCAAAGAAUUAUACUUGUUUAGAACUUUUUUGGUCGAGACGUUAUGGGUGUCUUAAAGGCACUGAAGGUUGCGUUAGAUGUCAUAAUCCACUACAAAAAGGAAACGCUGAAAAUCCCAGGUGGUGAUGGGAAUUAGUGGCAAUGUUACGGUGUAGAUAAAUUCAGAAAGUGUGACGCUAGCUGAUGUAAACCGCGCCAGCUGUGCUAUUACCGAGUCUUUCUCACUUUUGCCGCCUAGCAGGAAAAGGUUGUGAGAGUAGCAGAAGAAGAGAAAAUUGCAGUAAACCCGGUUUUGAAAGAAGCCAAACAUUCCGAUUGUAUGGGAGCCCAGCCUGUGGAAACAAAAACCCUAUGUUUCAGAUAGAAAGACAAAAGGAACACAUCGUUCCUCAGCCACUUCUGAGGACCACUGUCACCGAAAGAAAAUCACCUCGCUUAUAGACUCGGAAGGUGAAAGCGAGACCCAAAAGUUUUCCACAACGCAGCAAGUCCUCCACCGUUACAGACCACAAUGUGUAAAUGCGUCACAUCCGGGAAAUUAAUACUGCAGUAAUCAGAGCGAUAAAAAAAUUGGCACCAAUUCGUAUAUACCAGAUUAUGCCGCAACGCAUUCAAGAAUGGAGCUUAACACCUUGCAGGGCUGAAGAAAAUGAUAGAAAAGAAUUAGAACAAAUUUGUUGGCCGUAAAACAAACCGCGGGAGGCUCAGGAAGAGCUAGAUCUUAAACAAAAGGUUUUACUUUGUCUUGAAGUUUAUUCAUUUUUACGUUUUUUACUUAUGAAGAUGUGUUACUUGUUCUAGUGCUCUAAAGGAACUAGAUAACCAUAGCAAAGGCUUAUAAAUUUAGGGUUGACAUAAACUUUCGUGACGAAGCAGUUAAAGUAGGCGAAAGCGAAUCGACAAUUGAGUGCGCUACUGUCCCGUGCGUCACUCGCGGCAUCAGCAUUGCGGCAAACAGUGUUAGCUGUAAUAGGGAUUCUACACAGGUUUGUGGUGGUUCAGAAACGUUUACCACGUUUUGCAACUAGACGUCAUAUGAAUGGUGCAGUUCCUAUCUGCAGCCCUGCAGUGUGCAAAAAUAAAUGGUGGAGAAAAUCUGCUCAUUAUGCUGAUCAGCACAAUGCCAGCUUCAUUAAGCAUUCUUGAAAUGACCUAUGAACAGACUACACAGUAUUAAAAGACUCUUCCCUUAAGGAGAUUUGUAGCAGUGGACUUUCUUUAGAAGACUUGUAUCAAAUAUUUGCCUGCUUCUUGGAACAAGGAACUUAGGAGGUCUUGAUGACAACCAAGUAUCCUUGGAAAGAUUGUAAAAAAGAUGUUUAAGCAGGAAAUACCUAAAGUUGGAGGACGGUACAUUUUUUUUUCCCGUUACUAGUUUUGUAAAACAAAUGGUAAAUUUGGUGAAAUGAAAACAACACAUGAUCUAUUACUUAAGAUCAAUUGUUUUCACAAGUGGAGAUUGAUUCCACAAUCUUCAGCUUCCAAGGCAGACAAUCCGCAAGGCAAUGGGAUAUACAUUUCCCCUAUAUUUUCGAGACAUCUAGUGGAGAAAUAACUAACUCCGUAGAACUUUUAUUGGUGUGUCAGCUGUCCCGUCAGCUGUUCCAUACUUCCAUUUCGCGUGGCUGCGGACUGAGGAUGGCUGCUGAAACGAACGUCAAUCUUCCUGAAAUUUUACCACCGAUUCCGUGUAUUUUGAGAUGCAUCUUGUGAAUUCAACCAAUGCAGAGUUGUUCAAGGAGGAACAUGGCUUGGCUAUGCUAGCAUGUUUUGUUUUUUGUUUUUUUUAAUCUCCGUUAGCCUGAUAUAUCCAUUUUGUUUCAAAGGUGAUACGUAAAAAGAAUAGUUCUUAACAAUCUUUUUCUCUAUCUAAAUCUCUUAGAUUCUUGGAGGUGUCUUAAGGUGAUGUUUGAAUUUAUUGUUAACAGUUUAAGUUUCGUAAAUCAUGCUUUCAGGUCUUUGGAAUGUACCUGAUGUACUGUGGUGGCCGCAAAAUCAUUCAAUGACUUGGUUCAAUCCAGGACUUUGUUUUCUUGGUAGUGGGUUACAGUUUUAAUUUGCAGAGAUUCUGGAGGCACCUGAUGUGUUUCAUUGGCAUUGGAGUCACUCGGUUACAGAAGAGAAUGCCACUACUGUUAUGUCGUCAGUGUAAAUAAAACAUAUCCAGUAUCA